RNAcentral lists this ribosomal RNA (619 nucleotides) under uncultured bacterium. Its description in RNAcentral is "bacterial SSU rRNA". It matches the Rfam family "Bacterial small subunit ribosomal RNA", at positions 100 to 706 of the family's 1533-position model. The record is from RNAcentral.
GAACGGGUGAGUAACACGUGGGCAACCUGCCCAAAAGAGGGGGAUAACACUUGGAAACAGGUGCUAAUACCGCAUAACCAUAGUUACCGCAUGGUAACUAUGUAAAAGGUGGCUAUGCUACCGCUUUUGGAUGGGCCCGCGACGCAUUAGCUAGUUGGUGGGGUAAAGGCUUACCAAGGCAAUGAUGCGUAGCCGAACUGAGAGGUUGAUCGGCCACAUUGGGACUGAGACACGGCCCAAACUCCUACGGGAGGCAGCAGUAGGGAAUCUUCCACAAUGGGCGAAAGCCUGAUGGAGCAACGCCGCGUGGGUGAAGAAGGUCUUCGGAUCGUAAAACCCUGUUGUUAGGGAAGAAAGUGCGUGAGAGUAACUGUUCACGUUUCGACGGUAUCUAACCAGAAAGCCACGGCUAACUACGUGCCAGCAGCCGCGGUAAUACGUAGGUGGCAAGCGUUAUCCGGAUUUAUUGGGCGUAAAGAGAACGCAGGCGGUCUUUUAAGUCUGAUGUGAAAGCCUUCGGCUUAACCGGAGUAGUGCAUUGGAAACUGGGAGACUUGAGUGCAGAAGAGGAGAGUGGAACUCCAUGUGUAGCGGUGAAAUGCGUAGAUAUAUGGAAGAA